RNAcentral lists this unclassified non-coding RNA (3418 nucleotides) under Hevea brasiliensis (rubber tree). Lineage: Eukaryota; Viridiplantae; Streptophyta; Magnoliopsida; Malpighiales; Euphorbiaceae. The record is from RNAcentral.
GAGUUUUCUUGACAGUGGCUUGAACGCCGAUGCUGACAACAUCUCUUCCUUGAGCUGAGCUUCAGGCAGCGAUCCUGAAUUUCUGAAUUGGGAACAAAGAAUUAUGUUUCAUUUGAUUAAGUCUGGUAAAGAUAACAAUAAAUGAAAGAGAUGGGUAGAUUAGCAGUUGCAGUGAUAGUGAGCUUGUGGGUGCUGUCUUUCACUUGCCUAUCUUGCUUGUUGGUUUCCAGGCAUGUAUCUUGUGCAAAAGGUGUCAUUGUUUCAUGAAGUGUGUUCUGCUGCAAUGCUACGCACUAUGAAUGUUGUUUUGGCGGAAUGUUGUUUUGGCGGUAUUGUGGAGCAUCAUUUUAUAUGAGAUAAUCACCUACUUGAGACCAACUCUUGAUAAAGGAAAAGCAACUUUUUUGGCUGUGAUCCUAGCCCUGUAUCCCUUCCUCUGGUUCUUCACUUUUCUUGACUAUACUGAUGUUGCAUAACUUGCUGUAAUGCUCGCUAUGUAUCUCACAUGCUUGAAGAAGAAAUAUCACUGAGUGCAUUGGUAAAGGAGUUGUCUCAAUUGUCAUUGUAUUGGAUGACUACACGACUAGCUUUCCAGAUACUACUUAAGACAGUAUGGUAGAAUCCCUUACAGAGCAUUCUCUCCUCUCCUGCUUUAUACUUUUAUAAGAAGAGGAAAGUUUUUGAGUGAAUAUAGUGAGGAGCUUUUAAGCUUACAAUUCUUUCAAGUGAUCUUUUUCAGAAUGAAAAUCUCAACUAAAGGGUUAUAAUCUCUGAUGCUUUCUAAAAUUUGGGUCUGCUAGGAAAGGUUGAAUAACACUUUAUGUUUCGCCACUAGAAACCAAUCAUGGGCUACACUUGGAUGCCUAGUCUAUGAGGGAAUGUUGUGAGUUGUGAUGCCUUGGGCCUAGUAAUUUCAAUCAAACAUUUUGUUAAGCAUUCCACAUCAGUUAGAUAUAUGGAUAAUAUGCCCCUUAUAAAGACUUGGGUAAUCUUUCCCUCUUAAGCAAGCUUUUAAGGUUGAGUUAGCCUCAUCCCUUUUCUCUAUGUGGUGUUAGAACCUCUCAAACCAAUAUUUAAGCCUCCCAUAAGUGUUUCACGCACCAAGCAUUAGCCUUGGGUGUGAGGGGUGUGUGUUAAGUAUCCUACAUCGGUUAGGCAUGUGAGUAAUGUGCCCCUUAUAAAGACUUGAGUAGUCUGCCCCCUUUGAGCUAACUUUUGGGAUUGAGUUUAGACCUAGUCCAUUUUCUCUACACAUUUCAAUGUCAUCAUUUAUAUCUCAAAACAAACAGUGUUGUCACAUAACUAUAUGCUCAUGAAUAUGCGUUUGGCUCCUUUUUGACUCUGAGUUGUUAAAAGUUUUCUGUGUUGCUUGAGGAACAACACCUCUCAAGUAGAGACCCAAGUAGCAUUACUUUAGUAACCUUGAGGUCUUAGUCUUUGGGGUUGGUUGUUAGAUGCAUUAUCAACUUAGAGAUGCUAAAUUUGAAGAAUUGAUUGGGAAAUGAUCUGCAGCAACUUGAAUGGAAGAAAUUCAACUUUUAGAACAACAUCAGCAUAUUAUGCAUUGGAUUGUAAUUUAUAGGAUAGGAGCAGCAUAUUAUGCAUUCAUUUCAUUUUUGUAAAAAUACUUUUGCACAAUUGCUGAUGGUCUAGUUUUGUGGAACUUACUAUCUCUUUUCUUUUUGCUCUUUUUGGCUUUAGCAGCUUGGUACCUUUACAGUUUUCACUCGACAAACAAAUGUUAUAUGGAUGCUUUUUGUCGCAUGCACUGGGGUAAUAGAUAUUACUCUGACCCAUCCAAGAAAAAAAGUGAAAGUAGAUGAGUUAAAUGAAUCAGUGAAGGAAACUGGCCGAUUAAUUCCUAACAAUUCUGUCUCAGCAAGCUCAAAUAUGAGAAGACGAAAGCCCAAUAGUGCGGAUGCUAGCAAAUAUUCAGCAACUGCUGCAAAUGGCUCCUCAUCAACCCAGUCUUCAGGUUUUCUUGAUGAGAUUCAGGACAUCUGUUUGGCAUCAUGGCAUAUGAAGUGGAAACUUUUCAUAUCCUUUUGCCCCUUCUUUAUGGUAUUGGUGGCCUUUGUUGCUUUUGUCCGUUGGAAUGGCAGUGUGGUUCUUGGUACUACUCAUAUUAUCUUACUCUAUUUGAUGGAGUAGGAAUUUGUUUCUUACUCUGUUUCUUGAUGUUUCAGGUGCAAAAGAAGCUCAUGCAGUUUCACCUCAUUUUGCACAGAUAAUGUAUUUUAGUCUGGUUUCUACUCUGGCAACAGCCCCACUGCAUUUUUCUUUAUGUCAUGUUGCAAAUAUGUUCCAGUCAUUCUGGAAGAACAGACUGGGCUUUUUUCAGUGGUUAGUGGCUCUUACUGCCGGCUUCCUCUCUGUUCAUUUUUUCAGGUCAGUUCAGACAUCUAUAUUAUAUCACAUGCUGAAUGUUAUGAAACACAUAAUUCAUAGCUUGUCUGCUAAAACUCCAUAAACUGGGUUCUUGUAGAGAAAUAUCUUUUGUUGGAUUUGUAGGAAAGAAAGUCACAUCUUUACACUGUUUUGUAUGUUGACUAUUCUUAUGUACUCUAUUGUCUCCCUCUAUUUCAUAAUAAAGUUGACCAGUAAUGUUACAGCAUAGCCCAUCCCUAUCUUGUUGCUGACAAUCGGCAUUAUACCUUCUAUCUCUGGAGGAAAGUCAUCAAAGCACAUUGGUUGAUGAAGUACCUUUUGGUUCCAUUUUAUGUUUAUUCGUGGUCUUCAAUCUUCAAUAUUUUGGGGAAAGUUCGACAGAAAGUGUGGGUUUUGACAUAUUUCUUGGCUACGGCUGCAGUCCUAGUUCCUGCUCCAUUAAUUGAGUUCAGAUAUUAUACCAUACCAUUCUAUUUGUUGAUACUUCAUUCUCAUAUUGAUGAUAAUGAAAGUUGGAUUGCUAUGGGACUGAUGUAUUUGGUAAUCAAUACCUUCACGAUGAUGAUGUUUUUGUUUAGACCAUUCAAUUGGAACCACGAACCUGGGGUCCAGAGGUUUAUUUGGUAGAUGGACUCCUGGAAGAUGCUUCACAUUAUUUUCACAUUUUUAAUUUUUAUCACUCGGGGCUCUGCCUUUGAGAGGUGUGUUUUAGCUUCCAAAGCAAUGGAACAAAAUUACUUCUUGUUGCUUUAUGACUCUGGGAUUCUAUCCCGUUGAUCUCAUGAUCGAAACUCCUUGUUCCUUUUUAACUUGCUUGCAAUGAGAAAAAUAACUCAUUGAGAUGGCUGCAGCUUCUUGCAUUUUUGUCUCUGGUAUGCUGGUGCGACCGCCACCACCUCCAUUUCUAAAUUGUUCAUGCAUCUCAACAAUUUAUCUCGUUCUCCCCCAUCCCCUUUAGUUUCUCUUAACUGAAGAAAUGUAAUGUACCUAGCAACUAGGGUAUGGUUGGGUCAUAUCCGUAGUAUGUCUU